GUGAUGUUGGAAUGUCCUCAGUGUGUCUCUGUUCCUAACGAAGGGGAAAAGUUUGGCUGAAAUUGUGUUUUUAUGUUUCCCACAAGACCAGAAAGGGUAUAUCCGGAAAGCUGGCCUUGGUUCCUGUUGGAAAGGAGCAGGAGAGAGGGGAAACAGACGGACUGGGGGGAGGAAAGGCACAUCGGAGUGAGGGGAGCAAAACAGUUCUACUCUCCCUUGGGGGGAUCGUAGCACUAUUCCACCAACCAUAGUGACAGCGUUUUAUUUAUCUCCGCCGCCCAUCUGUGCAGCCGGUCUCAAAUUCUCCCUGAGAAAGGUCUUUUGGAUUAUCAGCGCCGCCAUUUUAAUACAACUGCUGCAUCGUAGAGUGGGCGCCGAGGGCGGCGGGAGUCUGUCAGGCGUGAAGAGUCCAUCUUCCCCGUACUUGAAAUGGGUUCAUCCAGAGUACACCUGCUGUAAUAGGGACAUUCCAAAAGCUGUGGAGAGUGAAUUACCCGAAUGACAAAAACAUUCUCCCUUUUCUCAACGUCCUUCUGCUGCUGCCCGCGUUUGGGGUUAUUUUGGAUCUCAAAUUCAGAAAUUAUUGAGCUGAAGAAGUUAGAAGUGUUACACCUAAACAGAUUGGGGUAUUUGUGUUAUGGGGCAUAUUUUGGGUUAGAGGGAUGAAGCAGGAUGUGACACCCGCUCUGUUUGGGAGCAGCGAGAGGCAGGGGUCGAACAGCGCCGUGUCGUGGCGGCUGCCGCGCGUCGACACGCUGACCUCCCGGUGACUCCUCCGUUGAGAGAGCCCAAAGUGAGCACGGGUGGGGCUGGCAUGGAGAGUGGGUUGCCAUGACAACACCUGCAGUGUACCCGCGCGGUCGUUUAUUUACCACUCAGGGGGCUGGCUAAUGGCGGCAUUCCUGAUAGGCCCAUCGCUCACGGUGCCCGAGCGGAGGACAGACUGACAGCUCCCCGAGCCGAGAACGAGGGGAAGGUGAAUCGAGGUUGGCCAGACUCACCAGAUGCUCUGCAAGUCUCUGCAGCAAGCCCAUGAUGUAUAAUCUACCUCACUUCUUGCACAGGUACAGAGAAACUGGUCAGAGUAGAUGGGAGGAUGGAUACAGCUAAACAGGCCAGUCCAAGAAGAACACCUGUUAGUGGCUGCAAAACCUUUGAGACUAGAGUGUAGAUUCAUCUUCCAACAUGGCAGGAACACUAAACAUCCAAGAAUAGUGUAGAUCAAAGCAUAUUCAUGGCUCAGUUAUUGUCCUGAUGUAAAUCCAAUUGAGAAUCUGUGACAAGACUUGAAAUUUGUUGUUCACAUAUGCUCUCCUUUCAAUCUGACUGGGCUGGGCUGGGCAAUACAAUUCGUGAAUAAAAUUUGAGGUAACAUUUUUGAAAGCCACACUUUUCUUGCACACUGUGUGUUGGUCUAUCACAUAAAACACCCCAAAUAAAUUAAAGUCUGUGGUUGCAAAAAGCUAAAGGAGUGAAAAUAUUUUUGCAAAGCACUAUGAAAAGAUUAUUGAUGUACUUCAGCCAUUGCAAGGAGCUGAUAACCACGUACAGGACUGGAAGGUUAUAGUAAAGAAACUAGUCAAAGGGAAAAAAUUA
Girardinichthys multiradiatus is the source of this 1596-nucleotide long non-coding RNA. RefSeq lists it as uncharacterized. The record is from RefSeq and is a predicted model, not a curated record. NCBI's taxonomy places the organism in Eukaryota, Metazoa, Chordata, Actinopteri, Cyprinodontiformes, Goodeidae. The transcript has 3 exons.